Ailuropoda melanoleuca (giant panda) is the source of this 3040-nucleotide RNA transcript. It is a transcript of the gene named armadillo like helical domain containing 1, with no coding region annotated. The transcript has 12 exons. The record is from RefSeq and is a predicted model, not a curated record. Lineage: Eukaryota; Metazoa; Chordata; Mammalia; Carnivora; Ursidae.
GUCACCUCCCAUCCUAGCAACCGCCGAGUCUCUCUCCGAGCCUCUCGCCGAGCCUCUCGCCGCACCCCACUGCUCGGCCCUAGCAACCAUGCCCCGCCCCGUUCUAGCCUUGCUUCGCAGCCAUUGGCUGACUCGCGUGAUCUGGGUCCGGUAUUGGUCAACCCGGACGCCGGUCGGGAAGAGUCCCCACUCUCCCGUGUAGUUUGAUCCACAGUCAUUCACCUGGCUGUUAAGGCUGACAGGAUUUCGUGGCUGUCUCCAUCCCAGGGGCUACGUGGAUGCCCUCUCCGGGAGCGCAUACCCAGUGUCCUCUGGGGAGUAGUGGAGCCGACUUCAGGACUGACUGACCAUGACUUCCAUAAAGGAGCAAGCAGCAAUUAGCCGGCUCUUGAGUUUUUUACAGGAUUGGGACAAUGCUGGCAAAGUUGCAAGGAGUCACAUCCUCGACAAUUUCAUCAAGACCAACCAAGGCAAGACCUCCCCUGAACUGGAGCAGGAGUUUUCCCAAGGGGCCAGCUUGUUCCUGGCACGCCUGACCACCUGGCUUAGACUCACCUACAUGACUGGCUCCUGUUUAGAUAAGCUUCUGAAGUCUAUUGGUAUCUUCUUGUCAGCUGUGAGCAGUAACCGGUACCUUAUAGAAUUUCUUGAAGUUGGAGGCGUCCUAACACUCUUGGAAAUACUUGGGCUGGAGAAGAUCAAGGAGGAGGACAAGAAGGAAUCCAUCAGGCUACUUCAGGUUAUUGCAAACUCUGGCAGGAAGUACAAGGAGCUCAUCUGUGAAAGCUAUGGUGUACGAUCCAUAGCAGAAUUUUUGGCAAAGUCUAAAUCCGAAGAGACCCAGGAAGAAGUGCAGGUUCUGUUGGAUUCUCUGCUCCACGGAAAUCCCAAGUACCAGAAUCAAGUAUACAAAGGUCUAAUAGCUUUACUGCCCUGUGCGUCCCCGAAAGCUCAGCAGCUGUCCUUGCAGACUCUCAGGACCGCGCAGGCAAUCAUUGGAACCACCCACCCCAGCAUUGUGGAGUGCGUGCUGAAGGUGCUUGGCACCAUGCACCUGGAAGUCCAGUAUGAAGGUAGGGGGGCAGCCGGGGCUGUUCCUGCUCACGCUUUACAGAAGCUGACCGCGAGAACAAGACCGCUAGCUCUCAACAGUCUUCUCCUGGUCACAGAGGACCCUGCCAUCGAGCUGAUCAAGGACCUGGUCAACUACGACGUGUGCCAGGCGCUGCUCAAGGGCCUUGUGGAGCUGCUGAUACCGUCCUUCAAGGAGACCAGCAAACUGCAGCCCAAAAUCUUCAACGACUCCUUGGUUCCCCAGCUCACCGCCCACCUGCCAGUGUUCCUGCAGCAGGCCGCGGCGGCCAAGGCCAUCAGGGUCCUGGCGCGCAGCAACAUGAAUAUUGCGGAGAAGAUGCUGCACCUGCGCGUGGUGCACAGCCUGUUGGCCGCCAUGGGCAACUCGGACCACAGCAACAGCCAGCGGCAGGCCAGCCUCACGCUGGAGUACUUCGUGCAGGUGUUCCCGGUGGUGGAGGAGCACGUGCGCAGGUCCAUGGGAGAGGACCUCUACCAGCUCUUCCUCGUGAGUGCCCCGCCCCGCCCCCAAGAGCCGCGACCCCGACACACGCGGCCGCCUCCACGGCGUCCCUCCCCCGGGACACACCUCCUACACACGCCGGGCCUUGUGGCCGGCUGCGGGAGGGACCGCCGGGGCUCGGGCUCCUCCCCACCCCCCGGCGUCCUUCCGGUCCCCUCCCUGCGCUUCCGGUCAGCCCCGCGCCCGCCCCCAAGUCCAGACUGCCCUGGCGGCCUCCGCCAGGCUCCCCUUGCUCCCGUCCUCAGAGCAAUGCCGAGGACUUGUACAUGAAAAUAGAUAGCGUUCAGGCGGACAUCCUGGCGGCCAACAAGGUCAAUGUUUCCAAAGCAUUACACCUCAGGGGCAGCCCCCACAGCAACACGAGCUUUUACCUUGACGCUCAUGACCACGAUCAGCAGGCUUACGUCACCUACUUCCAGAAGGAGGAUAUGGAGGGAACGGAGUAACAGAGCCUCUGAGGCAAUCCGGAAAGGCCCGGGCUGUGUUUCAGGAAGCCUGGCAGAAGGAUCCUGGGGUCACGAUCGCGGUGACUCCACUGGCCCCAGGUGGGAGGCUGAGGGUUGGGCCUGCCAGUAGGGGAGAGGGAGAGCGCUGGCUGGCAAGAAUUCAAUAAAUAGUCUUGCUAUCUGCCUGUUCUCCCUGUAGGGGGUAGGGGGGGUUAAAUGAGAGCUUUGCUGAUGGGCUCGAUCGCCUCUGCUCGUCCACGAAAAAAGCUGGUCCGGAGGGAAGGAACAUCAGCAUCCUGGAAGAUUUAAGGGCGUAGCCUGAGGAGAGACCCUCACCUCUGCUCCAUACUGCCCCCUGCACUCUCUCCUCCAGGAGACCACGCUCAGCUGCUUUUUCUCCUACCCCUGGUUGCUUCCUCUCAUUCUCUUUCGCUGAUUCAUCCUCUCAACCCAGCUUCUUUCAAAUUGGAGUGACCUUGAGCCUCUAUCUACUUUUUCACCCUGCUAAUCUCAUCCCGUCUAAGAACUUUAAAUGCCCUUUAUAUGCCAUUGACUCCAUUUCUAUUUCCAGUUAAAUAUUUCCAUCUCUUUGUGUCCAAAACUGGACUCCAGAUCCUGUGCCACCUUCCCCAACUCAACCGACGGCAACUCAUCGUUUCUGCCACUUCGAACAAAAUAGUGUUCUCCUUAACGUCUCUCUUCAAUAUCUGUAUCCGUUCUGUCUGUUGACCCUACCUUCCAGAUAUAUCCAGAAUCCAGCCAUAUCUCACUACCUGUGUUGCUAAUACCCUAAUCUGAGCCACCAUUGUUCUUCCUGCUUUGUUUUUCCACCAUUGUUUAGACUACUCUAGAGGCUUUUCUACCCCAUUCUCUUUUCAAUACAGCAGCCAGGGUAGUCUUUUAUUUUAUUUUAUUUUUUGAGAUUUUAUUUAUUUGAGAAUGAGAGAGCACAAGCAAGGGGAGAGAGAAGGAGAGGGAGAAGCAGGCUCCCCGCAGA